This 372-nucleotide ribosomal RNA is filed under the name Amorphoscelis singaporana. RNAcentral describes it as "partial 12S ribosomal RNA". The record is from RNAcentral. Lineage: Eukaryota; Metazoa; Arthropoda; Insecta; Mantodea; Hymenopodidae.
AUACCCUAUUAUUCUUAUUAUAAAUUAUGGAAAGCCGGAGUAAUCUUAGUUAUGGUCUUAAAACUUAAAGAAUUUGGCGGUAUUACAGUCUAACUAGAGGAAUCUGUUAUGUAAUCGAUAGUCCACGUUGAACCUUACUUAUAUUAAUUCUUGUAUAUCGCUGUUUAUGAAUAUAUUUUAAAAUAAUGUUCAGGAUAAAUUAGUAAUUAAGAUUUCAAGUCAAGGUGCAGUAAUAUGUAAGUUGAAUAAUGGAUUACAAUAACUUGAAUUUAAAUGGAUAACUUUUGUAAAGGAGUUUUGAAGGUGGAUUUAAUUGUAAUUUUUUAAAGAUUGUUUAAAUGAUUGUAGCUCUGUAAUAUGUACACAUCGCCC